Molecule: ribosomal RNA, 253 nt
Filed under: uncultured bacterium
Lineage: Bacteria
Description: partial 16S ribosomal RNA
Rfam family: Bacterial small subunit ribosomal RNA
Source: RNAcentral
GACGAGGGAUCCUAGCGUUGCUCGGAAUCAUUGGGCGUAAAGAGGGCGUAGGUGGCUAAAUAAGUCAGGUGUGAAAGCCCAGGGCUCAACCCUGGAAGUGCAUUUGAUACUGUAUAGCUUGAGUGUUGGAGAGGUUAUCGGAAUACCUGGUGUAGUGGUGAAAUACGUAGAUAUCAGGUGGAACACCGGAGGCGAAGGCGGGUAACUGGCCAAACACUGACACUGAGGCCCGAAAGCAUGGGGAUCAAACAGG